UUUCCGUAGGUGAACCUGCGGAAGGAUCAUUAUUGAAUAAACAGUGUGGGUUGUUGCUGGCCUUCUGGCAUGUGCACGCCUGCCAUAUGCUUCAUUCCCUUCUUUCCACCUGUGCACUAUGUGUAGGCUAUGUAUGCUGUAUUGUCAGGCCCUUCAUAAGGCUUGGUUUAGAGAGGAUGCUUGUCUUUAUGAGACAGGCUCAUCUUGGGCGUACAGGUCUAUGUUUUACACCAACACCAAAUGAAUAUCUUAGAAUGUAUUUUUUCAGGCUCUUGCUAGCCUUUAAACCAUAUACAACUUUCAACAACGGAUCUCUUGGCUCUC
RNAcentral lists this unclassified non-coding RNA (324 nucleotides) under plant metagenome. Its description in RNAcentral is "partial contains small subunit ribosomal RNA, internal transcribed spacer 1, and 5.8S ribosomal RNA". The record is from RNAcentral.